This 446-nucleotide unclassified non-coding RNA is filed under the name Entomobrya marginata. Its description in RNAcentral is "sequence contains 5.8S rRNA gene and ITS2". Lineage: Eukaryota; Metazoa; Arthropoda; Collembola; Entomobryomorpha; Entomobryidae. The record is from RNAcentral.
AGGGUCGAUUUAAAAAUAAAACCAAAAAGUGCUGUCAAGAAUCUGUCUCAUUGCUUAAUCGUGUUGAGGAUAAAUGUAACAAAAUGCCUGCCACGAACUCUUGUUGUUAAAAUAGGAGGUUGCCUUGAGAUGAUAUAUGACAUGUUCACUGCCAUCGUCGAGCUGUUUAGCUUGAUUAGAAUAAAGAGCAGAGUGUCGCGAUCUUAUAGUGCGACGAAAGGCCAUUAAUGUGAAAGGUGUAUGGAUACGGAUUUGUUGUGCUCACUGAAAAAAGUAAAAACAAGGCAGGAAUUGUACUUGAGUUUCAACAAUGAAAUAUUCAUGCAUCCCAUACUAUUGGUUCUUUGUAACGUUGCAUAAUAAUGACGACUCACUGCUAGAAGCCUCGUGCUUCAACAAAUCUAUUGCAAUGUAAAAGUUGUAAUACAAAAAUCAGUAGCGACCUC